CCUACGGGCGGCAGCAGUGGGGAAUAUUGCACAAUGGGGGAAACCCUGAUGCAGCGACGCCGCGUGAGCGAUGAAGUAUUUCGGUAUGUAAAGCUCUAUCAGCAGGGAAGAAAAUGACGGUACCUGACUAAGAAGCCCCGGCGAACUACGUGCAAGCAGCCGCGGUAAUACGUAGGGGGCAAGCGUUAUCCGGAUUUACUGGGUGUAAAGGGAGCGUAGACGGCUGUGCAAGCCAGAUGUGAAAGCCUGGGGCUCAAUCCCGGGACUGCAUUUGGAACUGUGUGGCUGGAGUGUCGGAGAGGCAGGCGGAAUUCGUAGUGGAGCGGUGAAAUGCGUAGAUAUUAGGAGGAACACCGGUGGCGAAGGCGGCCUGCUGGACGAUGACUGACGUUGAGGCUCGAAAGCGUGGGGAGCAAACAGGAUUAGAUACCCGUGUAGUC
This 440-nucleotide ribosomal RNA is filed under the name uncultured bacterium. RNAcentral describes it as "partial 16S ribosomal RNA". It matches the Rfam family "Bacterial small subunit ribosomal RNA", at positions 338 to 795 of the family's 1533-position model. The record is from RNAcentral.